This 2363-nucleotide long non-coding RNA is filed under the name Gallus gallus (chicken). Its description in RNAcentral is "long non-coding RNA NONGGAT008719". Lineage: Eukaryota; Metazoa; Chordata; Aves; Galliformes; Phasianidae. The record is from RNAcentral.
AAGAUAGCAUUGAAAAAAACAAGUCAAUUCUUCCAUUAGUCAAAUUCCUGUUAAAUUAUCCAUACUUCCCAGUGAGCAAGUCCAUGGACCAGGUUCCUAUCAAUGUAUUGAUGGUGAAGGCUGGAUAUGCUGGUAUCUAAAAAACACCCACAGAAUGAAACCUGCCCCCAUCAUACAGCAUCAUUCCAGGGAUGGGGAAUGCCACAGAGCUCUGCAACCAGCAGACAAAAGUGUGGAUUUUGGAGGGGAGGGAUGCAGGGUGCAGAAUGGUGCAAAGGGAAGAGGCACAGGGAGUGACUGUGGAUGGGAGGAGAGCGUUUCUGUUGAGACCUUGUCAGUGUUUGGCAUAUGCAGGUCUGCCCUCCUCUGUUAUCCAUGCACCCAUCAGCUCCUGGGAGUCACUUUGAUGAAGGAAUCAGAGGAAAAUUGGAAAAUACCUUCAGCUUGAGGCCUGAGUCAAGUGCUGUUAUUAAUAGCGUGUUUAAUUACGAGUGGCAUCUAAAUCAGGCAUAAGCUGAAGAACAGGAGGAAAAGCAAAGCAAGAGAUUCCCAUGUUGAGACCAUGGAGCGCAGGAAGCUGCAGUGCUGUGCAGCCAUCUGAACUCAGAGUGAUGUUUGACCUCAGAUGAUGAACAGGAGCUUUGCCUUCUUGCUGUGCAAUGCCAGAUCACCAGAAAAGAUCUUAGCUAAUACUUGUAAUGAUAUCGUGGCUCAGAUUGGGUGUACGAGCAUGUUGUAUGCUGCUUAACAGCAGAAGGUGAUGGGAUUUGAUGGAGAUACAUGUCUGUAUUUCCUAACCUUCAGCAGGAACAGCAAAGAACUCUUGUUCCAAGAAGGAAUUCAGAAUAUCUCCUCCGCGUUCUACCUCUGCAUGCUGAGACAGAGUGAGAACUGCAGUCAUGGAGUGAGAAGACUCACAGAAGAGGUCAGUGCUUACCAUAACAACAGCGGUGCACUUUUGCAGGGCUGUGGUAUUUUCCAGGGUGUUGUAGUUGGGCAUUCCCUGCACAAAGCAUGAAGGACCGUGCCAUGCUGACAUGCUGACAAGGCAGCCUCUGUCCCGGUCUCACAGGCAGCACUGUGAGCUGGAGUUGCCUUUAGCCGUCAGAUACAUCAGCUUGAUAAUCUGUGCAAAGGUGUGUGGUUGGUACACCCCAUCUGUCUGAGUUCUACAACAAGUCCCUGUUUGCAUCAAAUUCUGGACUGCUCGCGUCCCUCUCUGACUACACUGGAGAACAGCUGAGGUCCCUCUCACUGAACGCUGCUUCCCAAGGGCUGAAUUCGGAUGAGAAAACCACUGUAACAUUGGGUAAUUAAUUUGUCGGCCAAAUAAUUUCUGCAGGGCUAUCACUUACUUCUCUGUCUGCAACCCCAAUGAAUCUCCCAGCUCGCAGCUUUAAUCCCAUUUUCUGCCUUUUAAUCUCAUUUUUUCACUCUAAUUUUCAUAGCUCCUACUAUUCAGUGGGAAUAACCAGAGCCAGGUGAGCACGGAUUCUGUGGCACAUAUUGAAUGCCUGGAGACCAACAACAGAGCUCCUGGAAUGGAAUUCCUCCAUUCCAGGUGGUCCACUGCAACAAAUAAUGGACUCAACAAAAAGAACAGUUAUAAGAAUAAAGGAGAAAGAGUGAUUUGUAUUUGGAGGAAUUACGAGUGUGACUUCAUUCAGAACCAGCCCAGCACACGUGCAGAACUCCCUAAGUGCAGUUCAGAGCAUUGCGUCCUCUGAUCAGGUAGGAACUAAUUUGCUAAGUGCAAAAGUUGGAAAAUUUUGUAGCUGUUUAACAGCAAAUCACAGAUCUGUCCUCAUUUAUUUUUCCUGACACAUUUAUUAUUGAAAGAUGGUUUGGUGAGUGCCAUAAGUAAGCAGGCGGUGUUGUUCCUGAGCCCUGAGAUUUGUCACUUCGGCUACAUCUUUCUGAUCUGUGACGGAGUGUUUUCUGCAGGAGAACAGGAAUGCUAAAUAAGGCAUCAAUAAUGCAAGAGAUCCGUGAAUAAUCACCCGAGUGCUUGAAAACGAGUGGACAGUGUGAUCAUAUGGUAGAAGAAAAAUAACGUUAGCUGCAUAUUUAUCAACGCCUGGUGCCAUUAGCACAGGGUCUGGCAAUAGCUCAAGGCUUCUAGGAGACAGUGCACACAGUGCUUUGGUGCCCAAUGCUACAGGAGGAGGGCACAUCCCCAGAGCAGGGAGCUUGUUUGGGCCCGGCCAGUCUGUGGCUGGAUGGGGUAAUGGAUGGGGAUGGCAGACAGCACCCUUCGUGUGUUUGUCCUAUGCUGCUGCAUUUUAGCCCCGUCUCUCACUGCACCAACGUGUCUAUCUUAAAAAGGACUUCUGAGUGCAAACAUUUGAUCCUGGGAGCAAGCA